This 141-nucleotide ribosomal RNA is filed under the name uncultured eukaryote. RNAcentral describes it as "partial 18S ribosomal RNA". It matches the Rfam family "Eukaryotic small subunit ribosomal RNA", at positions 1299 to 1458 of the family's 1831-position model. The record is from RNAcentral.
UGGUGGAGUGAUUUGUCUGGUUAAUUCCGUUAACGAACGAGACCUCGACCUGCUAAAUAGUUAGGCGUAUCUUAGGAUACGUACGUGACUUCUUAGAGGGACUAUCAGGAGAGUAUCCGAUGGAAGUUCGAGGCAAUAACA